GAAAAAGAAGGGAAGAUGGGUGGCCGAUGAUUCAAUAAUCUUAUUUUUAUUUUUGAAGUACAUUUUAUAUUUCAAGAAAUUAAAAUAGGAUUAGUCUGCCCAUUUUUCUAAAAUACGUGUAUUAGCUAUUGAUAUCAAUAGUUUAUUUAACAUUGUAAAAAUGCGACUAAUCCUUCCAACAUUAUUUGGGAGGAUUUUUU
Molecule: small RNA, 200 nt
Filed under: uncultured Ureibacillus sp.
Lineage: Bacteria; Bacillati; Bacillota; Bacilli; Caryophanales; Caryophanaceae
Description: Bacillus sRNA ncr1575
Rfam family: Bacillus sRNA ncr1575
Source: RNAcentral